This 745-nucleotide ribosomal RNA is filed under the name uncultured bacterium. Its description in RNAcentral is "bacterial SSU rRNA". It matches the Rfam family "Bacterial small subunit ribosomal RNA", at positions 33 to 773 of the family's 1533-position model. The record is from RNAcentral.
ACGCUGGCGGCAGGCCUAACACAUGCAAGUCGAGCGGUAGAGAGAAGCUUGCUUCUCUUGAGAGCGGCGGACGGGUGAGUAAUGCCUAGGAAUCUGCCUGGUAGUGGGGGAUAACGUCCGGAAACGGACGCUAAUACUGCAUACGUCCUACGGGAGAAAGCAGGGGACCUUCGGGCCUUGCGCUAUCAGAUGAGCCUAGGUCGGAUUAGCUAGUUGGUGGGGUAAUGGCUCACCAAGGCGACGAUCCGUAACUGGUCUGAGAGGAUGAUCAGUCACACUGGAACUGAGACACGGUCCAGACUCCUACGGGAGGCAGCAGUGGGGAAUAUUGGACAAUGGGCGAAAGCCUGAUCCAGCCAUGCCGCGUGUGUGAAGAAGGUCUUCGGAUUGUAAAGCACUUUAAGUUGGGAGGAAGGCCAGUAAAUUAAUACUUUGCUGUUUUGACGUUACCGACAGAAUAAGCACCGGCUAACUCUGUGCCAGCAGCCGCGGUAAUACAGAGGGUGCAAGCGUUAAUCGGAAUUACUGGGCGUAAAGCGCGCGUAGGUGGUUCGUUAAGUUGGAUGUGAAAUCCCCGGGCUCAACCUGGGAACUGCAUUCAAAACUGACGAGCUAGAGUAUGGUAGAGGGUGGUGGAAUUUCCUGUGUAGCGGUGAAAUGCGUAGAUAUAGGAAGGAACACCAGUGGCGAAGGCGACCACCUGGACUGAUACUGACACUGAGGUGCGAAAGCGUGGGGAGCAAAC